AGAGUUUGAUCAUGGCUCAGGAUUAACGCUGGCGGUAUGCCUAACACAUGCAAGUCGAACGGAAUACUCGAAAAGAGAAUCUCACACUAGUGAGAGGUUCUCCAACCGAGUAUUUAGUGGCGGACGGGUGAGUAACACGUUGGAACCUGCCCCGAAGUGGGGAAUAACUGCUCGAAAGAGUAGCUAAUACCCCAUAGUAUCCGGUUUAUCCGGAUUAAAGAUUUAUCGCUUCGGGAGGGGCCUGCGUCUGAUUAGCUUGUUGGUGAGGUAAAAAGCUCACCAAGGCGACGAUCAGUAGCUGGUUCGAGAGGAUGACCAGCCACACUGGGACUGAGAUACGGCCCAGACUCCUACGGGAGGCAGCAGUGAGGAAUCUUCCACAAUGGACGAAAGUCUGAUGGAGCAAUACCGCGUGCAGGACGACGCUUUUCGGAGUGUAAACUGCUUUUGUCGUCGAAGAUUAUGACUGUAGACGAAGAAUAAGGACCGGCUAACUACGUG
Molecule: ribosomal RNA, 501 nt
Filed under: uncultured bacterium
Lineage: Bacteria
Description: bacterial SSU rRNA
Rfam family: Bacterial small subunit ribosomal RNA
Source: RNAcentral